UACGAAGGGGGCUAGCGUUGUUCGGAAUUACUGGGCGUAAAGCGUGCGCAGGCGGCUAUCCAAGUCAGUGGUGAAAGCCCGGAGCUCAACUCCGGAACUGCCAUUGAAACUGUUUAGCUCGAGUACGAGAGAGGUGAGUGGAUUUCCCAGUGUAGAGGUGAAAUUCGUAGAUAUUGGGAAGAACACCGGUGGCGAAGGCGGCUCACUGGCUCGUAACUGACGCUCAUGCACGACAGCGUGGGGAUCAAACAGG
This 253-nucleotide ribosomal RNA is filed under the name uncultured bacterium. RNAcentral describes it as "partial 16S ribosomal RNA". It matches the Rfam family "Bacterial small subunit ribosomal RNA", at positions 524 to 776 of the family's 1533-position model. The record is from RNAcentral.